AGGGCACCACCAGGAGUGGAGCCUGCGGCUUAAUUUGACUCAACACGGGGAAACUUACCCGGCCUGGACACUGGAAGGAUUGACAGAUUGAGAGCUCUUUCUUGAUUCAGUGGGUGGUGGUGCAUGGCCGUUCUUAGUUGGUGGAGUGAUUUGUCUGGUUAAUUCCGAUAACGAACGAGACUCUAGCCUAUUAAAUAGGCUCUCGGCUUUUAAACGCCGGGAGGACUUCUUAGAGGGACAGGUGGCGGUUCAGCCGCACGAAAGAGAGCAAUAACAGGUCUGUGAUGCCCUUUGUUGUCCGGGGCCGCACGCGCGCUACACUGAAGAGAUCAGCGUGCUUUACGUUCCUGCUCCGACCGGAGUGGGGAACCCAGUGAACCUUCUUCGUGAUUGGGAUAGAAGAUUGUAAUUAUUCUUCUUGAACGAGGAAUUCCCAGUAAAUGCGAGUCAUAAGCUCGCGUUGAUUACGUCCCUGCCCUUUGUACACACCGCCCGUCGCUACUACCGAUUGAACGAUUU
This 519-nucleotide ribosomal RNA is filed under the name uncultured eukaryote. RNAcentral describes it as "SSU rRNA". It matches the Rfam family "Eukaryotic small subunit ribosomal RNA", at positions 1161 to 1699 of the family's 1831-position model. The record is from RNAcentral.